AACUUGAGUUUGUUUCAUGUUUGAACUUGAGUUUUUGGUGUCUUUGAACUUGAAUUUUUGGUGUUUUUGAAAUUGAGCUUGUGGAAGUUGUUAAACUUGAGAAUUGGGUAUUGGUUGAACUUGAGUUUUUUGUGUUUUUGAACUUGAGUUUGUUUCGUGUUUGAACUUGAGUUUAUGGUGUUUUUGAACUUGAGUUUGUGGUGUUUUUGAACUUGAGGUUGUGGAAAUUGUUAAACUUGAGAAUUGGGUAUUGGUUGAACUGAUUUUUUUGUGUUUUUGAUCUUGAGUUUGUGUCGUGUUUGAACUUGAGUUUAUGGGUUUUUUUAACUUGAAUUUGCAUGUUUGGUGAACUUGAGUUUUCGUGUUUUUUUGAACUUGAGUUUCUGUUUUUUUGAACUUGAGGUUGUGGAAAUUGUUAAACCGUAUAAUCGGGUGUUGGUUGAACUUGAGUUUGUUUUUUUUUUUAACUUGAGUUUGUGGUGUGUUUGAACUUGAGUUUGUGGUGUUUAUGAACUUGAGUUUGUGUGUUUGUUGAACUUGAAAUUGUGUUAUUUUUGAACUUGAGUUUUUGGUGGUCUUGCACUUGAGGUUGAGGAAAUUGUUAAACUUAAGAAUUGGGUAUUGGUUGAACUUGCGUUUUUUGUGUUUUUAAAUUGGGUUUUUGUAGUGUUUGAACCUGAGUUUGUGGUGUUUUUGAACUUGAAGUUGUGUUUAUUUUUAACUUGAGGGUGUGAAAUUUUUUAAAGUUGAGAAUUGGGUUUUGGUUGAACUUGAGUUUGUGGUGUUUUUUAACUUGAGUUUGUUUCAUGUUUGAACUUGAGUUUUUGGUGUCUUUGAACUUGAAUUUUUGGUGUUUUUGAAAUUGAGCUUGUGGAAGUUGUUAAACUUGAGAAUUGGGUAUUGGUUGAACUUGAGUUUUUUGUGUUUUUGAACUUGAGUUUGUUUCGUGUUUGAACUUGAGUUUAUGGUGUUUUUGAACUUGAGUUUGUGGUGUUUUUGAACUUGAGGUUGUGGAAAUUGUUAAACUUGAGAAUUGGGUAUUGGUUGAACUGAUUUUUUUGUGUUUUUGAUCUUGAGUUUGUGUCGUGUUUGAACUUGAGUUUAUGGGUUUUUUUAACUUGAAUUUGCAUGUUUGGUGAACUUGAGUUUUUGUGUUUUUUUGAACUUGAGUUUCUGUUUUUUUGAACUUGAGGUUGUGGAAAUUGUUAAACCGUAUAAUCGGGUGUUGGUUGAACUUGAGUUUGUUUUUUUUUUAACUUGAGUUUGUGGUGUGUUUGAACUUGAGUUUGUGGUGUUUAUGAACUUGAGUUUGUGUGUUUGUUGAACUUGAAAUUGUGUUAUUUUUGAACUUGAGUUUUUGGUGGUCUUGCACUUGAGGUUGAGGAAAUUGUUAAACUUAAGAAUUUGGUAUUGGUUGAACUUGCGUUUUUUGUGUUUUUAAAUUGGGUUUUUGUAGUGUUUGAACCUGAGUUUGUGGUGUUUUUGAACUUGAAGUUGUGUUUAUUUUUAACUUGAGGGUGUGACAUUUUUUAAAGUUGAGAAUUGGGUUAUGUUUGAACUUGAGUUUCUGUUGUUUUUGAACUUGAGUUUGUCCGUGUUAGAACUUGAGUUUUUGGCGUUUGUUGAACUUGAGUUUCUGUUGUUUUUGAACUUGAGUUUGUGUCGUGUUUUUGAAAUUGAGCUUGUGUGUUUGUUGAACUUGAGUUUGUGUUAUGUUUGAACUUGAGUUUCUGUUGUUUUUGAACUUGAGUUUGUGUCGUGUUUUUGAACUUGAGUUUUUGGUGUUUUUGAACUUGAGGGUGUGGAAUUUGUUAAACUUGAGAAUUGGGUAUUGGUUGAAUUUGAGUUUCUGUGUUUGUUGAAAUUGAGUUUGUGUCAUGUUUGAACUUGAGUUUGUGGUCUUUUUGAACUUGAGUUUGUGUGUUUGUUGAACUUGAGUUGUGGCGUUUGUUGAACUCUAGGUUGUGGCAAUUGUUAAACUUGAGAUUUGGUUGUUGGUUGAACUUGAGUUUGUGUCGUGUUUGAACUUGAGUUCGUGUUGUUUGUUGAACUUGAAUUUGUGUGUUUUUUGAACUUAAUUUUUUUGAACUUGAGUUUGUGGCAAUUGUUGAACUUGAGUCUGUGGUUUUUGGUGAACUUUAAUUGGUGGCAAUUGUUGAACUUGAGUUUGUGGUGUUUUUGAACUUGAGUUUGUUUCGUGUUUGAACUGUGUUUGUGGUGUUUUUGAACUUGAGUUUUUGGUGUUUUUGAACUUGAGGGUGUGUUGUGUUUUUGAACUUGAGUUUGUGGUGUUUUUGAACUUGAGUUUGUGGCGGUUUUUGAACUUGAGGUUGUUGCAAUUGUUGAACUUGAAAUAAAAACCCAAAUAUGAACCCAAAUAUAUAUUUUUUCUUUUUACAUUUUUUUUGGUGUAACCAACUCCAAAAGGUCUUAAACAUGUUCCUAAAAAGGUUUUGGACAGUGAUUUUAACCCUAACGCCAAAAACCUUAAACCUAAUCCUAGCCCCAUAACCUAAUACCCGGGUAUUACCUUCAGGAAGCCCGAACACCCCAAAUAUUUUUUUUCUUUUUCUUUUUUUUUUGUCUAACUAACUCCCAAAGGUCUGAAAGAUGUUCCUUAAAAAAUAUUGGACAGUGAUUUUAACCCUAACGCCAAAAAGCUUAAACCUAACCCUAGCCCCAAAACCUAAUACCCGGGUAUUACCUUCAGUAAGCACGAAAACCCCAAAUAUUUUUUUUCAUUUUUCGUUUUUUUUUGGUCUAACUAACUCCAAAAGUUUGGAAAAUAGUUCCUACAAAGGUUUUGGACAGUGAUUUUAACCCUAACGCCAAAAACCUUAAACCUUACUAUAGCCCCAUAACCUAAUACCCGGGUAUUACCUUCAGGAAGCUUGAACACCCCAAUAUUUUUUUUUCAUUUUACAUUUUUUUUUGGUGUAACCAACUCCAAAAGGUCUGAAACAUGUUCCUAAAAAGGUUUUGGACAGUGAUUUUAACCCUAACGCCAAAAACCUUAAACCUUACACUAGCCCCAUAACCUAAUACCCGGGUAUUUCCUUCAGGAAGCCCGAAGACCCCAAAUAUAUUUUUUUCAUUUUUUUUUUUUUGUUCUAACUAACUCCAAAAGGUUGGAAAAGAGUUCCUACAAAAGUUUUGGACAGUGAUUUUAACCCUAACGCCAAAAACCUUAAACCUUACUAUAGCCCCAUAACCUAAUACCCGGGUAUUACCUUCAGGAAGCCCGAACACCCCAAAUAUUUUUUUUUUAAUUUUACAUUUUUUUUUGGUGUAACCAACUCUAAAAGGUCUUAAACAUGUUCCUAAAAAGGUUUUGGACACUGAUUUUAACUCUAACGCCAAAAACCUUAAACCUUACCCUAGCCCCAUAACCUAAUACCCGGGUAUUACCUUCAGGAGACCCGAACACCCCAAAUAUAUUUUUUUCUUUUUCUUUUUUUUUUGUCUAACUAACUCCCAAAGGUCUGAAACAUGUUCCUUAAAAAAUAUUGGACAGUUAUUUUAACCCUAACGCCAAAAACCUUAAACCUAACCCUAGCCCCAAAACCUAAAACCCGGGUAUUACCCUCAGGAAGCCCGAACACCCCAAAUAUUUUUUUUUCAUUUAUCUUAUUUUUUUUGUCUAACUUAUUCCCAAAGGUUGGAAAAUAGUUCCUACAAAGGUUUUGGACAGUGAUUUUAACCCUAACGCCAAAAACCUUAAACCUAACCCUAGCCCCAAAACCUAAUACCCGGGUAUUACCUUCAGGAAGCUUGAACACCCCAAAUAUUUUUUUUUCAGUUUACAUUUUUUUUUGGUGUAACCAACUCCAAAAGGUCCGAAACAUGUUCCUAAAAAGGUUUUGGACAGUGAUUUUAACCCUAACGCCAAAAACCUUAAACCUUACCCUAGCCCCAUAACCUAAUACCCGGGUAUUACCUUCAGGAAGCCCGAACACCCCAAAUAUAUUUUUUUCUUUUUUCUUUUUUUUUGGUCUAACUAACUCCAAAAGGUCGGAAAAGAGUUCCUACAAAGGUUUUGGACAGUGAUUUUAACCCUAACACCAAAAACCUUAAACCUUACCCUAGCCCCAAAACAUAAUACCCGGGUAUUACCUUCAGGAAGCCCAAACACCCCAAAUAUUUUUUUUUUCAUUUUACAUUUUUUUUGGUGUAACCAACUCCAAAAGGUCUGAAACAUGUUCCUAAAAAGGUUUUGGACAGUGAUUUUAACCCUUACGCCAAAAACCUUAAACCUUACCCUAGCCCCAUAACCUAAUACCUGGGUAUUACCUUCAGGAAGCCCGAACACCCCAAAUAUAUAUUUUUUCUUUUUCUUUUUUUUUUUGGUCAAACUAGCUCCAAAAGGUCUGAAACAUGUUCCUUAAAAAGGUUUUGGACAGUGAUUUUAACCCUUACGCCAAAAACCUUAAACCUUAUCCUAGCCCCAUAACCUAAUACUUAAACCUGAAGGGUAUUACCUUCAGGAAGCCCGAACACCCCAAAUAUUUUUUUUUUGCAUUUUACAUUUUUUUUGGUGUAACCAACUCCAAAAGGUCUGAAUCUUGUUCCUUAAAAGGUUUUGGACAGUGAUUUUAACCCUAACGCCAAAAACCUUAAACCUUACCCUAGCCCCAAAACCUAAUACCUUCAGGAAGCCCGAACACCCCAAAUAUAUUUUUUUCUUUUUACUUUUUUUUUGGUCUAACUAACUCCAAAAGGUCUGAAACAUGUUCCUUAAAAAAUAUUGGACAGUGAUUUUAACCCUCACGCCAAAAACCUUAAACCUUACCCUAGCCCCAUAACCUAAUACCCGGGUAUUACCUUCAGGAAGCCCGAACACCCCAAAUACUUUUUUUUUUUCAUUUUACAUUUUUUUUGGUGUAACCAACUCCAAAAGGUCUUAAACAUGUUCCUAAAAAGGUUUUGGACACUGAUUUUAACUCUAACGCCAAAAACCUUAAACCUAACCCUAGCCCCAAAACCUAAUACCCGGGUAUUACCUUCAGGAAGCCCGAACACCCAAAAUAUAUAUUUUUUAUUUUUCUUUAUUUUUGGUCUAACUUGCCCUCAAAGGUUGGAAAAGAGUUCCUACAAAGGUUUUGGACAUUGAUUUUAACCCUAACGCCAAAAACCUUAAACAUUACCCUAGCCCAGAAACCUAGUAUUACCUUCAGGAAGCCCGAACACCCAAAAAAAAAUUUUUUUUCAUUUUACAUUUUUUUUGGUGUAACCAACUCCAAAAGGUCUGAAACAUGUUCCUAAAAAGGUUUUGGACAGUGAUUUUAACCCUUACGCCAAAAACCUUAAACCUUACCCUAGCCCCAUGACCUAAUACCCGGGUAUUACCUUCAGGAAGCCCAAACACCCCAAAUAUUUUUUUUUCAUUUAUCUUUUUUUUUUUUUGUCUAACUAACUCCAAAAGGUUGGAAAAGACUUCCUACAAAGGUUUUGGACGGUGAUUUUAACCCUCACGCCAAAAACCUUAAACCUUACCCUAGCCCCAUAACCUCAUACCCGGGUAUUUCCUUCAGGAAGCCCGAAGACCCCAAAUAUAUUUUUUUCUUUUUUCUUUUUUUUUGGUCUAACUAACUCCAAAAGGUCGGAAAAGAGUUCCUACAAAGGUUUUGGACGGUGAUUUUAACCCUAACACCGAAAACCUUAAACCUUACCCUAGCCCCAAAACCUAAUACCUGGGUAUUACCUUCAGAAACCUUGAACACCCCAAAUAUUUUUUUUUUCAUUUUACAUUUUUUUUUGGUGUUACCAACUCCAAAAGGUCUGAAACAUGUUCCUACAAAGGUUUUGGACAGUGAUUUUAACCCUAACGCCAAAAACCUUUAACCUUACUAUAGCCCCAUAACCUAAUACCUGGGUAUUUCCUUCAGGAAGCCCGAAGACCCCAAAUAUUUUUUUUUUCAUUUUACAUUUUUUUUGGUGUAACCAACUCCAAAAGGUCUUAAACAUGUUCCUAAAAAGGUUUUGGACACUGAUUUUAACUCUAACGCCAAAAACCUUAAACCUUACCCUAGCCCCAAAACCUAAUACCCGAGUAUUACCUUCAGGAAGCCCAAAAACCCCAAAUAUUUUUUUUCAUUUUUCGUUUUUUUUUUGGUCUAACUAACUCCAAAAGGUUGGAAAAUAGUUCCUACAAAGGUUUUGGACAGUGAUUUUAACCCUAACGCCAAAAACCUUUAACCUUUCUAUAGCCCCAUAACCUAAUACCUGGGUAUUUCCUUCAGGAAGCCCGAAGACCCCAAAUAUACUUUUUUUCAUUUUACAUUUCUUUUUGGUGUAACCAACUCCAAAAGGUCUGAAACGUGUUCCUAAAAAGGUUUUGGACAGUGAUUUCAACCCUAACGCCAAAAACCUUAAACCUAACCCUAGCCCCAAAACCUAAUACCUGGGUAUUACCUUCAGGAAGCCCGAACACCCAAAAUAUAUAUUUUUUAUUUUUCUUUAUUUUUGGUCUAACUUGCCCUCAAAGGUUGGAAAAGAGUUCCUACAAAGGUUUUGGACAUUGAUUUUAACCCUAACGCCAAAAACCUUAAACAUUACCCUAGCCCAGAAACCUAGUAUUACCUUCAGGAAGCCCGAACACCCAAAAAAAUUUUUUUUUCAUUUUACAUUUUUUUUGGUGUAACCAACUCCAAAAGGUCUGAAACAUGUUCCUAAAAAGGUUUUGGACAGUGAUUUUAACCCUUACGCCAAAAACCUUAAACCUUACCCUAGCCCCAUGACCUAAUACCCGGGUAUUACCUUCAGGAAGCCCGAACACCCCAAAUAUAUAUUUUUUCUUUUUACAUUUUUUUUGGUGUAACCAACUCCAAAAGGUCUUAAACAUGUUCCUAAAAAGGUUUUGGACAGUGAUUUUAAACCUAACGCCAAAAACCUUAAACCUUACCCUAGCCCCAUAACCUCAUACCCGGGUAUUUCCUUCAGGAAGCCCGAAGACCCCAAAUAUAUUUUUUUCUUUUUUCUUUUUUUUUGGUCUUACUAACUCCAAAAGGUCGGAAAAGAGUUCCUACAAAGGUUUUGGACGGUGAUUUUAACCCUAACACCAAAAACCUUAAACCUUACCCUAGCCCCAAAACCUAAUACCCGGGUAUUACCUUCAGGAAGCUUGAACACCCCAAAUAUUUUUUUUUUCAUUUUACAUUUUUUUUUGGUGUUACCAACUCCAAAAGGUCUGAAACAUGUUCCUACAAAGGUUUUGGACAGUGAUUUUAACCCUAACGCCAAAAACCUUUAACCUUCCUAUAGCCCCAUAACGUAAUACCUGGGUAUUUCCUUCAGGAAGCCCGAAGACCCCAAAUAUAUUUUUUUUCAUUUUACAUUUUUUUUGGUGUAACCAACUCCAAAAGGUUGGAAAAUAGUUCCUACAAAGGUUUUGGACAGUGAUUUUAACCCUAACGCCAAAAACCUUUAACCUUUCUAUAGCCCCAAAACCUAAUACCCGGGUAUUACCUUCAGGAAGCCCAAAAACCCCAAAUUUUUUUUUUCAUUUUUCGUUUUUUUUUUUGGUCUAACUAACUCCAAAAGGUUGGAAAAUAGUUCCUACAAAGGUUUUGGACAGUGAUUUUAACCCUAACGCCAAAAACCUUUAACCUUUCUAUAGCCCCAUAACCUAAUACCUGGGUAUUUCCUUCAGGAAGCCCGAAGACCCCAAAUAUAUUUUUUUUCAUUUUACAUUUUUUUUUGGUGUAACCAACUCCAAAAGGUCUGAAACGUGUUCCUAAAAAGGUUUUGGACAGUGAUUUCAACCCUAACGCCAAAAACCUUAAACCUUACCCUAGCCCCAUAACCUAAUACCUGGGUAUUUCCUUCAGGAAGCCCGAACACCCCAAAUAUAUUUUUUUCUUUUUUCCUUUUUUUUGGUCUAACAAACUCCAAAAGGUUGGAAAAGAGUUCCUACAAAGGUUUUGGACAGUGAUUUUAACCCUACCACCAAAAACCUUAAACCUUACCCUAGCCCCAAAACCUAAUACCCGGGUAUUACCUUCAGGAAGCCCGAACACCCCAAAUAUUUUUUUUUUCAUUUUACAUUUUUUUUGGUGUAACCUACUCCAAAAUGUCUUAAACAUGUUCCUAAAAAGGUUUUGGACACUGAUUUUAACUCUAACGCCAAAAACCUUAAACCUUACCCUAGCCCCAUAACCUAAUACCCGGGUAUUACCUUCAGGAAGCCCGAACACCCCAAAUAUUUUUUUUUUCUUUUUCUUUUUUUUUUUGUCUAACUAACUCCCAAAGGUCUGAAACAUGUUCCUUAAAAAAUAUUGGACAGUUAUUUUGACCCUUACGCCAAAAACCUUAAACCUUACCCUAGCCCCAAAACCUAAUACCCGGGUAUUACCUUCAGGAAGCCCGAACACCCCAAAUAUUUUUUUUUCAUUUAUCUUUUUUUUUUUUUUGUCUAACUUAAUCCCAAAGGUUGGAAAAGAGUUCCUACAAAGGUUUUGGACAGUGAUUUUUACCCUCACGCCAAAAAACCUUAAACCUUACCCUAGCCCCAUAACCUAAUACCCGGGUAUUACCUUCAGGAAGCCCGAACACCCCAAAUAUAUAUUUUUAUUUUUAUUUUUGUUUUGGUCUAACUUGCUCUCAAAGGUUGGAAAAGAGUUCCUACAAAGGUUUUGGACAUUGAUUUUAACCCUAACGCCAAAAACCUUAAACAUUACCCUAGCCCAGAAACCUAGUAUUACCUUCAGGAAGCCCGAACACCCAAAAAAAAUUUUUUUUCAUUUUACAUUUUUUUUUGGUGUAACCAACUCCAAAAGGUCUUAAACGUGUUCCUAAAAAGGUUUUGGACACUGAUUUUAACUCUAACGCCAAAAACCUUAAACCUUACCCUAGCCCCAUAACCUAAUACCCGGGUAUUACCUUCAGGAAGCCCUAACACCCCAAAUAUUUUUUUUUUCUUAUUCUUUUUUUUUUGUCUAACUAACUCCCAAAGGUCUGAAACAUGUUCCUUAAAAAAUAUUGGACAGUUAUUUUGACCCUAACGCCAAAAACCUUAAACCUAACCCUUGCCCCAUAACCUAAUACCCAGGUAUUACCUUCAGGAAGCCCUAACACCCCAAAUAUUUUUUUUUUCUUUUUACAUUUUUUUUGUCUAACUAACUCCCAAAGGUCUGAAACAUGUUCCUUAAAAAAUAUUGGACAGUUAUUUUGACCCUUAUGCCAAAAACCUUAAACCUAACCCUAGCCCCAAAACCUAUUACCUUCAGGAAGCCCGAACACCCCAAAUAUUUUUUUUUCAUUUAUCUUUUUUUUUUUUGUCUAACUUAAUCCCAAAGGUUGGAAAAGAGUUCCUACAAAGGUUUUGGACAUUGAUUUUAACCCUAACGCCAAAAACCUUAAACAUUACCCUAGC
Xyrichtys novacula (pearly razorfish) is the source of this 9370-nucleotide non-coding RNA. NCBI's taxonomy places the organism in Eukaryota, Metazoa, Chordata, Actinopteri, Labriformes, Labridae. The record is from the annotation of a GenBank genome assembly.